UACGUAGGGGGCAAGCGUUGUCCGGAUUUAUUGGGCGUAAAGAGCGUGUAGGCGGCUGGGCAGGUCCGUUGUGAAAACUCGAGGCUCAACCUCGAGACGCCGAUGGAAACCCUCCAGCUAGAGUCCGGAAGAGGAGAGUGGAAUUCCUGGUGUAGCGGUGAAAUGCGUAGAUAUCGGGAGGAACACCGGUGGCGAAGGCGGGUUCCUGGGCAGCAACUGACGCUGAGAAGCGAAAGCGUGGGGAGCGAACAGG
This 253-nucleotide ribosomal RNA is filed under the name uncultured bacterium. Its description in RNAcentral is "partial 16S ribosomal RNA". It matches the Rfam family "Bacterial small subunit ribosomal RNA", at positions 524 to 776 of the family's 1533-position model. The record is from RNAcentral.